CACGCCGUAAACGCUGAGAACUAAGUGUUGGGGUGAAACCCAGCGCUGAAGCUAACGCAUUAAGUUCUCCGCCUGAGGAGUACGGUCGCAAGACUGAAACUUAAAGGAAUUGACGGGGGCCCGCACAAGCAGUGGAGCAUGUGGUUUAAUUCGAUGCUACGCGAAGAACCUUACCAGGGCUUGACAUAGUUCUAAGACUCUAGAAAUAGAGGGAUAUACAGAACAUACAGGUGG
Molecule: ribosomal RNA, 234 nt
Filed under: uncultured bacterium
Lineage: Bacteria
Description: partial 16S ribosomal RNA
Rfam family: Bacterial small subunit ribosomal RNA
Source: RNAcentral